Molecule: long non-coding RNA, 816 nt
Organism: Gasterosteus aculeatus aculeatus (three-spined stickleback)
Lineage: Eukaryota; Metazoa; Chordata; Actinopteri; Perciformes; Gasterosteidae
Source: Ensembl
AGGCACAACUCAGUGAAAUCACUGAUUGUGACCAUCUCGUGGUGGGUCUCCUCUUGGCUCUUUAUUAAAGCAGCCAGAGAAUCCCUCUGUGUCUUCAGCAGUUUGUGUUCUGCUUCCAACUGCUGCCAGGUCUCGUUGUUGACCGUGAGUUCAGCACUUUUGACAGAAAGUUCUUUUGUGGUCUCGGUGAGCUUCAGAGAUAAACCCUCGUUCUCCCUGAUAGUCUCAUCCAGAGCCUCUGUCUUGAUCUUCAGCAGUUUGUGUUCUGCUUCCAACUGUUGGUUGUUGGCCUGCUGCUUGUGCAGCUUCUCUUGAAGAGAAAUGUUGGUGGAGAGUAACCCUGUUACUUUAGACUCCAAUGACUGUUGUUGGUCAUCCAGUUUCUUGGUUGUCUUUUUCUCCAGAUCUUCAUAUUUCUGCUGCCAGGUCUGGUUGUUGACCGUGAGUUCAGCACUUUUGACAGAAAGUUGUUUUGUGGUCUCUGUGAGCUUCAGAGAUAAACCCUCGUUCUCCCUGAUAGUCUCAUCCAGAGCCUCUGUCUUGAUCUUCAGCAGUUUGUGUUCUGCUUCCAACUGUUGGUUGUUGGCCUGCUGCUUGUGCAGCUUCUCUUGAAGAGAAAUGUUGGUGGAGAGUAACCCUGUUACUUUAGACUCCAAUGACUGUUGUUGGUCAUCCAGUUUCUUGGUUGUCUUUUUCUCCAGAUCUUCAUAUUUCUGCUGCCAGGUCUCGUUGUUGACCGUGAGUUCAGCACUUUUGACAGAAAGUUGUUUUGUGGUCUCGGUGAGCUUCAGAGAUAAACCCUCGUUCUCCCUGAUA